CCCUUCCUAUGACUACAGGCCUUUGACGCACUAUGGUGACAAGCGGGGGGCGGGGCCUCCGGGAAGGAAAUUAUGAAUGCUCUUUUUAGGUUUGGGAUCAUGGUUCCAUGAAGUGCCUGGAAGAUGCCCUCAGGUGUAUUGGAGUGACAAGAGGGGAGGAUAAACAGCACUUUUCACACUGCACCGUCAUUAUUUUCGUGACUGUCUACUUGCAAAGCUGAGGAUAUUGACCAGGCAGUCCUUUACAGAAAAAGUCUGCUGACCCUUGGACUCGAAUAAUGGUUCUCAACAUGGGACGAUUUUGCCCUCCGGGAGACAUGCAGACAUUCUGAAAACAUUUUUGGUUGUCAAAGACAGGGUUUCACUAUGCAGUGCAGGCUGGCCUUGAAU
Molecule: long non-coding RNA, 390 nt
Organism: Chinchilla lanigera (long-tailed chinchilla)
Lineage: Eukaryota; Metazoa; Chordata; Mammalia; Rodentia; Chinchillidae
Exons: 4
Source: RefSeq, a predicted model, not a curated record